Molecule: long non-coding RNA, 5125 nt
Filed under: Homo sapiens (human)
Lineage: Eukaryota; Metazoa; Chordata; Mammalia; Primates; Hominidae
Description: LHRI_LNC1352.1
Source: RNAcentral
UGGCUGUGCUGCUGUUGGUGCCUUGGGUCUCUUUUCCUGUCUGCCCUUCUCAGCUCCCUUGGUUGCUGACUCCUCGCCAUCUGACCAUCUGCCUCGCUCUGCCCCUUCCACCCACCACACAUUUCUGGCUGCUGAUGCUUGCAGUGCCUUUGGGUGCCCAUCUGGCCCAGCCCUUGGGAUGAGGGGACUCCUGCCUUCUCCUGCUUCUCUGACCUCUGCUCCCUGGAUGCCUUAUGUAGAUUCUGGUUCCCUGGUCCUGGAAUCCUCACUGCUGCUUCUGAUCCGGUGGGAUAAUAAUGAGGUUACAUGGUGAGAAGGCCACCCAGGUAUUGUAAUUAGUAGCCACACCAAGCCAGCUCUAUUGGGUGGGUGAUUAGAAAAUUUUUUUUUCUAAUCUUAACACUUAUUAUACUAAAACUAUCUACUUAAGUAUUUUCCCCCCAGAUGGAGAGUUUCUUGAGGGCAAGAACUGAGUUUAUUUUUCUUUAUAUCCAGAGUGCCUAGAAUAUAGAAAUUAACUGGUAAAUGUUGGCUGAACUGAGGUUGGGAAUGGGAGGGAAAGUGUAUAGGGGAUGAUGCUCUGAUGUCAGCUUCCUGGGCUGACCCUGAAGAAAGAAGGAAACGUGGGCAUUUGUGGUUGUCAGUCCCACCCCUCUCUUGGGGGAGUGGCCCUUGGACAGGGCAGGAGGCUGCUCAACCUUGGCCUUGACUGCAAAGGUCUCUGGGUCUUGCUGUGUGCUUCACCCAGACCUCAUCCUGAUGCGCGCCCAACCCAUCCAUGGUUCAUCAUCCACCGUGUCUGCAGUUCCCUCAGGGAGAGAUUCUUUUGUACUGGCAUGCAGGCCAGUGGGAUGAGAGGGGCAGUAAAUCUGGGAGCAAGUGGGAAGCUGCAGGCCGAGUGCACACAGUACUCAGCGCAAGGGAGGUGCUCCAAUAUCAGGAAAAAGAUACAACGGCUCUUUCAUUUCUCUCCUUUCUUUUUUCAGAUUAUAAAGUAAUACAUGUUCACAGGGACAAAAUACAAAAGUAUAAAAGCCUUCUGUCCUCCUCAAUCUACUCCCUAACAUUAACUACUGUUAACAAUUCUUUUUUAUUUGUUUAUUUUUUUGACACACAGUCGCAUUCCUCGCCCAGGAUGGAGUGCAGUGGCACGAUCUCGAUCUCGGCUCACUGCAACCUCCACCUCCUGGUUCAAGCAAUUCUCGUAGCUGGGAUUACAGGCGCACACCACCAACCCGGCUUAUGUUUGUAUUUUUUCUAGAGACGGGGUUUCUCCAUGUUGGCCAUGCCUAGUCUUGAACUCCCGGCCUCAAGUGAUCCUCCCACCUCAGCCUCCCAAGGUGGUGAGAUUACAGGCAUGAGCCACUGCGCCUGGCUGUGCUGUUAACAAUUCUUGACAUCUUCUGGAAAUGUGCUAUUUUACAAAAGCACGUAUACAUAUAGCUUGCAUAUACAAAAUGUGUGUAUGUGUUCACAUGCAGAUAGAUAUAUAAACAGACAGAAUUUGAUGGUGUCAUGAGACAGAAAGAGAAAAUGGUAGCCCACAGGUAUAAAGUAGGGGUGUUGGGGUGAAGGCAGACUUGAAAGGGGCUGUUGAUGGACCAGGUAGGAGGGCCUGAGGAGAAGUGAUGGAAUACAAGGAUGGAAGCAAGGAUGGGGCAGGAGAGUCUUAAUAUUUGUGUUGCAAAAAAAUUUUGCAGUUUAGGAGGUGAGAAAUCCAACAUCCAGUUAGCCUCAGUUUCCUUAACUAAAAAAUGGGAUAAUGAUGUAUAUUCCUCACAGGUUUAUAGUGAUGAUUAGAAGGGGCGAAUAUAUAUAUAAACAAACAUACAUAUAUGUUUGUUUGUUUUUUGGACAGAGUCUCGAUCUGUCACCCAGGCUGGUAUGCAGUGGUGCGAUUUUGGCUCACUGCAACCUCCGCCUCCCAGGUUCAAGUGAUUCUCCCAUCUUAGCCUCCUGAGUAGCUGAGACUACAGGCACGUGCCACCACGCCCAGCUAAUUUUUGUAUUUUUAGUAGAGAUGGGGUUUCACUAUAUCUUGGCCAGGUUGGUCUUGAACUCCUGACCUCAGGUGAUCCACCCACCUUGGCCUCCCAAAGUGCUGGGAUUACAGGCGUGAGCCACUGUGCCUGGCCAGGGCUAAUAUAUUUAAAGUGCUUAGCAUUGCACCUCAAACAAUAUUCUAAGCAUUCUCUCAGCGUGUGCUGCUAUUAUAGUUGUUGAUGUUAUUAGGGUGCUGCUAUUGUUGCUGUUUUCAGAAUGCUUCACGUGGUCCCUGGCCCGUGAGUGAACCUCUAUCCAUCUGCAGUUGGCAUAUGGAAAGAACCUCCUGGUCACAUUUCUCUUUCCAUUUUAGAAAUCAUUCUUUUGUUGUGACACUGUCUUUUCAUUUUCCUUCCCUGACUGCUCUUAACUUCCUACUUUAUGCUGUGCACUCUUGAAGAAAACUUUCUGGUACCUGAUGGUUAUAAAUCCUUGGAGGCGCGUGAAGAUGUUUUAGGUAGUAAAGGGCAGUGGCCAUUUUCUCACUUUGUCUCCCUGGCCUGGUCUUAAGCUGUUGGGCAUUCUUUAGUCAGGAACAUCUUCUUAUUUGCUGUACUUCACACAUACUGCCUAAGGAUAUCAAUUAGAAUUGCUUACUUAAGAAAAAUGCCCAGCAAUCGUUAAGGCCACUCUUGUUCAUUUCCUGCAUUUUUUUUUUUUUUUUUUUUGAGAUGGAGUCUCACUCUGUUGCCCAGGCUGGAGUGCAGUGGCGUGAUCUUGGCUCACUGCAACUUCCGCCUCCUGGGUUCAAGCGAUUCUUCUCCUGCUUCAGCCUCCCCAGUAGCUGGGACUACACGCUCCCGCCACCUCACCAGGCUAAUUUUUGUAUUUUUAGUAGAGACUGGGUUUCACCACGUUGGUCAGGCUUGUCUCAAACUUCCGACCUCAAGUGAUCUGCCUGCCUUGGCCUCCAAAGUGCUGGGAUUACAGGCGUGAGCCACUGCGCCCAGCCCAUUGUCUUCAUUUUAAGAGCACUGACUCUGCUGCUCCUCUUGAGACAUCUUGGGCAGUGAUUCUGUUCUUCUGGGAUACUCUGGGUGUUUCUACUUGUAUUUAGAAUGGCUGGCUUAAAAGUCUUUGUUUGAAUAUUCCGCAUUCUGAAUGCUCUUAGUUGUCAGUAAAACUAUGCCUGCCUACGCACUCUUCUAUUUCUGAUUUAAAAAUAGGUUCAGCUGCCUAACAAUUACACAUACUCUAUUUUGCACGCGCACAUUACUUAAGGAGACAUUUAGAGGGUAGAUAGCUUUUAUUCCUAUGAGUUAUCUUGAAAUCAUCUUCUUAACUAUCUUUUUUUCCCCAAAGGGGCCAUAUUUUGAAGGAUUUGUGAUGAGACUUUUGGUCUGUGAAGCCCAAGACACAAUCUCCAACAUGCACAGGAAAUCCAGUAUCAAAUUUCUAACAUGUCUUCAGAGACAGGCCCAGGGCUGGCUUGAGCGUGUCAGAGAGGUGUGCACUGCGUACUACCCAUCAUACAUGGCCACACAUGCCUGUGGCUGUGAGAAAUACUGGUGGUGACAAAGACAAUGAGAUGCCAGAGAAAAAGAUCAGUGGGGUUUGCAAAAGUGAUUAAGAUGUCGUCCUAGGUAUAAUUAAAGACUUAAUAAGGUUGAAGGAAAGAGAGGACAUUGCACAUACCGAGGCCCCUGAGAGAUCUGCCUGGCAACCCAGAAAGGGACAUAUGGGGGAAAACGCCUUAGUGUAACCAGGUCAGAAUUUUCAUUCUGGGCAGAACUGGAAUUUGAAUAAUAAUACUGAGUCAUAUAGCGCAUACAGCUAUGACAUUUCAUUUAUUUCUCUAUAUAAUGCAAUAAAGUAGAUGGAUUAACCGUGACGUUUACAGAUGGAGCAGGGGAGAAUGAAGAGGCGUCAGUUUGGGCAUCAGGCUGGAUCUUCACACUCUGACCUCACUCUGCUCUAUCCUGCCCAGUGUUGCUUCACCUGAUAUCAGGGGUGCAAGGCAACCAGAUCUGACACCAGUUUCAGUUUAGAUCCUGCCUUUACCUGGGUGUGACCCGGGUCCAUCUCUUCAGCUCGGCCUCUGCUUUCUCUUCAUAAACUUUUGGGGUUAGUCCUCGGAUGAUCUCUAAAACAUGGCCCAGGUGCUCCUUGCCAGUAGAGUGUAGCCGGAUUUGGAGGGACUGGACACUCAGUGUGAACAAGACGAAGGCCUCAGGAGGCAGUAAAAGCUGACAAGAGGAGAGAAAAUGAAGCGCCUACGGGUGCAUACUGGACUAGCGGGCGAAAGGCCAUGACUCCUUAGUUUGGAGAAAGAACUGGGGCCGAGAUUGGGGAAGUUUCCCAGUGCAAUUAAAAAAAAAAAAAAAAAGAACUAGAAGAAUUACCCAGGUCUGGCUUCUUUCGUGUAGCCUGGGGCUGAGUCGCAGGCUGAGAAAUCCAGUCUGGCCAGUAGGGGGCUCCACCAAGCGCAGUCUCAGAAUGCCCAAGAGCUCCACCGUCGCCCGGGGUCUCCACCAAGCGCAGUCUCAGAAUGCCCAAGAGCCCCACCGUCGCCCGGGGUCUCCAAGAGGAGUGGGUCGUGGUGGGCGUUGAAGGGCCGUAAAAGACGAGCAGCCCGCGUCCGCGUCCGUCCUCCCGGGUCUCCAGUCCGCAGGCGGCCGCCGCCUCGGCCCCGCCCUCCCACCUCCAUUCCCGGCCCCGCGGACCCGAACGGUCCCUCUCGCAACCGAUCUGCUGGCUGGGGCGCUGGGGAUGCGAAUUCCUAGAAGCCUUAAGAGGCUGCCCAGCGUUGGAAGUUCGUAUCCCCAAGAAUGCUGGAGGUUCCGGCUCACACACCCCCUCCGGGCACAGAGUCAGCUGGGGGGUGCUGGGAGGGAGAACGCCCCGCUCCUCACCCCCCAUCCCCGUGCACCCUGGAGCCCAGCUCCAUACGUUCGGCCACCCCAGGCGGACUCGGGGUGGCCGGGUAGCGGGUGGUGGCAGGAGGGGACCGGGUAACGGCAGGCCCGAGAGGAGGUCGCUGGGCCGGGCCGGAGGCGCACAGGGGCUGCGUGGCUACCUCGGCGGCACCCGCCCCACCUCCGCCGGCUAAGCCCGGAGGGGGACGGUGAGUCAGAUCUCGGGC